Long non-coding RNA from Glycine soja, 880 nucleotides. RefSeq lists it as uncharacterized. Lineage: Eukaryota; Viridiplantae; Streptophyta; Magnoliopsida; Fabales; Fabaceae. The transcript has 3 exons. The record is from RefSeq and is a predicted model, not a curated record.
CUCUGACCUCCCCUCCUUUUUUCUUCAAGAAUAUUCCUCUUUUUCCCUAUAAAAAACCUCAAAACUUGGUCUUCAUGCUCAUUCUUAGCGAGACGACAUGAGGAAAACCAAAGAAUUUUCCGAAAAACUAAUUUGGAGAGGAACUUGGAGCACUAUCACUGACAUUAAAGGAAGAGUGAAGGAGCUUGGAGAGCUUUAAGCAGCAAAAAAGAGCUUAAAAAGCAUUGAAUUUAGCCCAAGAAAUAACCACACAGGUGUCAUAAGUCCCCACAACAGUGUGGGUGCUGCUAAUGUUAAUUGUUAUUCAUGAGUUAUUAGUGUAUUGAAAAAUUGCUAAAGAAGAGAAGGUGUAAAAAGUUGCUGAUGAACUCGCUUAGCGAGGCAGAUUGGCUAAGCGAGCCUCAUCUGCUUAGCGAGGCAGCUAGCUUGAUUAGCGGAUGCAAAACCCUAGAAGAGGAUAAGUUAGAGAUCAACAUGCUCAGUGUGCAGCCAGCCUGCCAAGCGAGGAUGUUGUCUCUUCUCGCGCUUAGCGUGACCAAGCUCACUUAGCGGAUUUUCACUUACUCUCGCUCAACGAGACAUGCUCGCUGAGUGAGCCUUCGUGUGCUGAGAAGUCCAAGAGCCUUUAAAACAUUGAGUUGGUGGGAAACCAAAGGUCACCAAGACUAGCCAGCCAUUUUGUUACAUGAAAACAAAGAGAAGAAGGCAAAGAGGCUGGAGAUAAGACAUUCUCCCUCAUCUUUUUCCAUUUUCUUUCACCAAAAAUAUUCCUUUUCUUGUUGUAUGAAGCUUUUCUUGUAAUGGAAGGCUAGAACUUCUUGUUGGGGAGUAGUCUACUGAAAAAUCUUGAUGUAAACUUCUAACUAUCUAUUUAAUGUUA